Long non-coding RNA from Trachemys scripta elegans, 837 nucleotides. RefSeq lists it as uncharacterized. The transcript is spliced from 3 exons. NCBI's taxonomy places the organism in Eukaryota, Metazoa, Chordata, Testudines, Emydidae. The record is from RefSeq and is a predicted model, not a curated record.
AAUCUUCUCCUGAGAAAUUGUUACUCCAAGAUUCCAGAGAAAGUCUAAGCAAGGAAAGAUCAUGACCAUAAGCAGACUUGCCUUUAUAUCUUUCAGCACCAGUCCUUCCAGCCCCUCCCGGAUGACUCGAUUGAUCAUAUCUGCCAGAUCUGAAGCUUUCUGGAAGGAAAAGGAAACUGUUGUGAUAAGAUUACCCUACCAGAUAGAGGUGUGUUCAUGGACAUUCCCGUGCCUACCGUUACAGCUCUCAGGCAGGAGCAGAAAUGCAUACAGAAAAUGAAGUGACUGCAAGGGAAAUGAACAAGAAGCUGGUUUCAGCAGGCAGAAGACGGUGGAGCAGACCCAACUGUCCCUCAGUUCCUUCACCAUACAGCAUCCAGAUGAUAUAAGACUCUGUUGUAGUGGAAGAGGAGGAGGGCUGGUCAUGGAAUCCAGGUGGACUACACACUCACCAAGAGGCAGAUGCCAAGAUGGAGCCCAUCCCACGAGCCACAAACCGGAUUCGGCCUCCUGAAGUACACUACAACCAGUUCAUCCAAAUAAAACAAAUUCCAAGUCCCCUGAUUUAACUAAUUUGAAAUUUGUUUUACUAUGCAACAGGUGAACUUGAGGGGACACAAUCCAAUUUCCAGUUGCCUAUGGAUAAACUAGGUUCUACUGUAAUAAUGUAAUUACUCUGUGUACCCAGUGAGCAUCUGUUUGUCUUGAUGUUAGAGACAAGAGGAUCAAUACCCUAGCAAUAACGUAAUUAACUAAACCCAGGCCUCUUUACUGCUCACAAGGUGAUCAUUCCCCUCUAUUCGACAUUGGUGAGGCCUCAUCUGGAGUACCGUGUCC